Molecule: ribosomal RNA, 452 nt
Filed under: uncultured bacterium
Lineage: Bacteria
Description: bacterial SSU rRNA
Rfam family: Bacterial small subunit ribosomal RNA
Source: RNAcentral
ACCCAGACUCCUACGGGAGGCAGCAGUGGGGAAUAUUGGGCAAUGGGCGCAAGCCUGACCCAGCAACGCCGCGUGAAGGAAGAAGGCUUUCGGGUUGUAAACUUCUUUUAAGAGGGACGAAACAAAUGACGGUACCUCUUGAAUAAGCCACGGCUAACUACGUGCCAGCAGCCGCGGUAAUACGUAGGUGGCAAGCGUUAUCCGGAGUGACUGGGUGUAAAGAGUUGCGUAGGUGGCAUAGUAAGUAGCUAGUGAAAUCUGGUGGCUCAACCAUUCAGACUAUUAGCUAAACUGCUAAGCUCGAGACCGUUAGGGGUAACUGGAAUUUCUAGUGUAGGAGUGAAAUCCGUAGAUAUUAGAAGGAACACCGAUAGCGUAGGCAGGUUACUGGGACGGUUCUGACACUAAGGCACGAAAGCGUAGGGAGCAAACGGGAUUAGAUACCCGGGUAC